This 253-nucleotide unclassified non-coding RNA is filed under the name uncultured Halomonadaceae bacterium. RNAcentral's name for it is "contains 16S-23S intergenic spacer region". It matches the Rfam family "Bacterial small subunit ribosomal RNA", at positions 524 to 776 of the family's 1533-position model. The record is from RNAcentral. Lineage: Bacteria; Pseudomonadati; Pseudomonadota; Gammaproteobacteria; Oceanospirillales; Halomonadaceae.
UACGGAGGGUGCAAGCGUUAAUCGGAAUUACUGGGCGUAAAGCGCGCGCAGGUGGCCUGAUAAGCCGGUUGUGAAAGCCCCGGGCUCAACCUGGGAACGGCAUCCGGAACUGUCAAGCUAGAGUGCAGGAGAGGAAGGUAGAAUUCCCGGUGUAGCGGUGAAAUGCGUAGAGAUCGGGAGGAAAACCAGUGGCGAAGGCGGGCUUCUGGACUGACACUGACACUGAGGUGCGAAAGCGUGGGUAGCCAACGGG